RNAcentral lists this ribosomal RNA (253 nucleotides) under uncultured bacterium. RNAcentral's name for it is "partial 16S ribosomal RNA". It matches the Rfam family "Bacterial small subunit ribosomal RNA", at positions 524 to 776 of the family's 1533-position model. The record is from RNAcentral.
UACGGAGGGGGCGAGCGUUAAUCGGAAUUACUGGGCGUAAAGUGUGCGCAGGUGGCCGCGCAAGUCGAGUGUGAAAUCCCCGAGCUUAACUUGGGAAUUGCGCUCGAAACUACGUGGCUCGAGUGUGGCAGAGGAAGGUGGAAUUCCCCAAGUAGAGGUGAAAUUCGUAGAUAUGGGGAGGAACACCGGUGGCGAAGGCGGCCAUCUGGACGGUUACUGACGCUGAGACGCGAAAGCGUGGGGAGCAAACAGG